AGAGUUUGAUCAUGGCUCAGGAUGAACGCUAGCGACAGGCUUAACACAUGCAAGUCGAGGGGCAGCGAUAGGUGGCAACACCGAGUCGGCGACCGGCGCACGGGUGAGUCACGCGUAUGCAACCUGCCCAUCAGCGGGGGAUAACCCGUCGAAAGACGGACUAAUACCGCAUAAAACAGGGGUUCCGCAUGGAAAUAUUUGUUAAAGAUUUAUUGCUGAUGGAUGGGCAUGCGUUCUAUUAGGCAGUUGGCGGGGUAACGGCCCACCAAACCGACGAUAGAUAGGGGUUCUGAGAGGAAGGUCCCCCACAUUGGUACUGAGACACGGACCAAACUCCUACGGGAGGCAGCAGUGAGGAAUAUUGGUCAAUGGGCGCGAGCCUGAACCAGCCAAGUCGCGUGAAGGAUGAAGGUUCUAUGGAUUGUAAACUUCUUUUCAUGGGGGAAUAAAGUGCGAGAUGUGUCCUGUUUUGUAUGUACCUCAUGAAUAAGCAUCGGCUAACUCCGUGCCAGCAGCCGCGGUAAUACGGAGGAUGCGAGCGUUAUCCGGAUUCAUUGGGUUUAAAGGGUGCGUAGGUGGCCAUCUAAGUCAGCGGUGAAAGUUUGUGGCUCAACCAUAAAAUUGCCGUUGAAACUGGAGGGCUUGAGUAUGUUUGGGGCAGGCGGAAUGUGUGGUGUAGCGGUGAAAUGCAUAGAUAUCACGCAGAACUCCGAUCGCGAAGGCAGCUUGCCAAGCCAUAACUGACACUGAAGCACGAAAGUGUGGGUAUCAAACAGGAUUAGAUACCCUGGUAGUCCACACAGUAAACGAUGAUUAUUAGGAGUUUGCGAUAGACAGUAAGCUCCACAGCGA
Molecule: ribosomal RNA, 852 nt
Filed under: uncultured bacterium
Lineage: Bacteria
Description: bacterial SSU rRNA
Rfam family: Bacterial small subunit ribosomal RNA
Source: RNAcentral